This 253-nucleotide ribosomal RNA is filed under the name uncultured bacterium. RNAcentral describes it as "partial 16S ribosomal RNA". It matches the Rfam family "Bacterial small subunit ribosomal RNA", at positions 524 to 776 of the family's 1533-position model. The record is from RNAcentral.
UACGGAGGAUCCAAGCGUUGUCCGGAUUUAUUGGGUUUAAAGGGUGCGUAGGCGGAUCUUUAAGUCAGUGGUGAAAGCCUGCAGCUCAACUGUAGAACAGCCAUUGAAACUGAAGAUCUUGAAUAUGGUUAAAGUAGGCGGAAUGUAUCAUGUAGCGGUGAAAUGCUUAGAUAUGAUACAGAACACCGAUAGCGAAGGCAGCUUGCUGAACCAUUAUUGACGCUGAGGCGCGAAAGCUAGGGGAGCAAACGGG